UAACCUGCCCAAGAGAUCGGGAUAACGCCUGGAAACAGAUGCUAAUACCGGAUAACAACAGAUGAUGCCUAUCAACUGUUUAAAAGAUGGUUCUGCUAUCACUCUUGGAUGGACCUGCGGUGCAUUAGCUAGUUGGUAGGGUAACGGCCUACCAAGGCGAUGAUGCAUAGCCGAGUUGAGAGACUGAUCGGCCACAUUGGGACUGAGACACGGCCCAAACUCCUACGGGAGGCAGCAGUA
This 240-nucleotide ribosomal RNA is filed under the name uncultured Lactobacillus sp. RNAcentral describes it as "partial 16S ribosomal RNA". It matches the Rfam family "Bacterial small subunit ribosomal RNA", at positions 122 to 355 of the family's 1533-position model. The record is from RNAcentral. Lineage: Bacteria; Bacillati; Bacillota; Bacilli; Lactobacillales; Lactobacillaceae.